AUUGAACGCUGGCGGCAGGCCUAACACAUGCAAGUCGGGCGGAUGAGGGGUGCUUGCACCCUGAUUCAGCGGCGGACGGGUGAGUAAUGCCUAGGAAUCUGCCCGAUAGUGGGGGACAACGUUUCGAAAGGAACGCUAAUACCGCAUACGUCCUACGGGAGAAAGUGGGGGCUCUUCGGACCUCACGCUAUCGGAUGAGCCUAGGUCGGAUUAGCUAGUUGGUGGGGUAAAGGCUCACCAAGGCGACGAUCCGUAACUGGUCUGAGAGGAUGAUCAGUCACACUGGAACUGAGACACGGUCCAGACUCCUACGGGAGGCAGCAGUGGGGAAUAUUGGACAAUGGGCGAAAGCCUGAUCCAGCCAUGCCGCGUGUGUGAAGAAGGUCUUCGGAUUGUAAAGCACUUUAAGUCGGGAGGAAGGGCUGCAGGUUAAUACCUUGCAGCCUUGACGUUACCGACAGAAUAAGCACCGGCUAACUUCGUGCCAGCCGCCGCGGUAA
Molecule: ribosomal RNA, 500 nt
Filed under: uncultured bacterium
Lineage: Bacteria
Description: partial 16S ribosomal RNA
Rfam family: Bacterial small subunit ribosomal RNA
Source: RNAcentral